AACGUAGGACGCGAGCGUUAUCCGGAGUUACUGGGCGUAAAGCGCGGGCAGGCGGUCUGACAAGUCUGAUGUGAAAUCUCCGGGCUUAACCGGGAGAGGCCAUUGGAAACUGACAGGCUGGAGGGCAGUAGAGGUAGGCGGAAUUCCGGGUGGAGUGGUGAAAUGCGCAGAUAUCAGGAGGAACACCGGUGGCGAAGGCGGCUUUCUGGGGCUGCCCUGACGCUGAGGCGCGAAAGCUGGGGGAGCGAACAGG
Molecule: ribosomal RNA, 253 nt
Filed under: uncultured bacterium
Lineage: Bacteria
Description: partial 16S ribosomal RNA
Rfam family: Bacterial small subunit ribosomal RNA
Source: RNAcentral